AUACGGAGGGUGCGAGCGUUGUUCGGAAUUAUUGGGCGUAAAGAGCAUGUAGGCGGUCUGUUAAGUCUGGUGUGAAAGCCCGGGGCUCAACCCCGGAAGUGCACUGGAUACUGGCAGACUUGAGUAUGGGAGAGGAAAGCGGAAUUCCGAGUGUAGGAGUGAAAUCCGUAGAUAUUCGGAGGAACACCAGUGGCGAAGGCGGCUUUCUGGACCAAUACUGACGCUGAGAUGCGAAAGCGUGGGGAGCGAACAGGAUUAGAUACCCCAGUAGUCC
RNAcentral lists this ribosomal RNA (274 nucleotides) under uncultured bacterium. Its description in RNAcentral is "partial 16S ribosomal RNA". It matches the Rfam family "Bacterial small subunit ribosomal RNA", at positions 523 to 796 of the family's 1533-position model. The record is from RNAcentral.